ACAGCAGCCGCCGCGGUAAUACAGAGGGUGCGAGCGUUAAUCGGAUUUACUGGGCGUAAAGCGUGCGUAGGCGGCUUCUUAAGUCGGAUGUGAAAUCCCUGAGCUUAACUUAGGAAUUGCAUUAGAUACUGGGAAGCUAGAGUAUGGGAGAGGAUGGUAGAAUUCCAGGUGUAGCGGUGAAAUGCGUAGAGAUCUGGAGGAAUACCGAUGGCGAAGGCAGCCAUCUGGCCUAAUACUGACGCUGAGGUACGAAAGCAUGGGGAGCAAACAGGAUUAGAUACCCCUGUAGUCCCUGUCUCUUAUAC
Molecule: ribosomal RNA, 305 nt
Filed under: uncultured bacterium
Lineage: Bacteria
Description: partial 16S ribosomal RNA
Rfam family: Bacterial small subunit ribosomal RNA
Source: RNAcentral